This 1164-nucleotide long non-coding RNA is filed under the name Homo sapiens (human). Its description in RNAcentral is "non-protein coding lnc-NR2F1-7:1". The record is from RNAcentral. Lineage: Eukaryota; Metazoa; Chordata; Mammalia; Primates; Hominidae.
GAGAACUUCAAGUUCUUUGCACUUUAUUUCAUUAGACACCAAUAUUUGAUAAAAGCAACAAGCACCAAAUUAUAUUAAUAUAAACCUUCCAUAAAUAAUGUUCACAGCAGUCACAAAGUUUAAAAUACAGAUGCUAAUUACAGUGCCAAAUCAAAACUACAAUAUUUCAAUUAAAACUAUUUUCACUUGUAAUGUGAUUAUCUUAUUCAUAGUAACAGGUAUUAAUAUUUCUAUUAAACCUGAAUAGGUUGUGCUUAGCCAUAAUUGUUCCAAUGGAUCUGUUUCCAGUUUUGUAUUUUAAAAUCCAAGUGUAUUCCAUAGAGUUAAAUAGUUUAUUCUGAUGUACCCAGGUAGACUUUUGUCUUAUAAUAGAAAAUGUUUGGAUAUCUAGGGAAAUGGCAUCAGAAAAAUCAGGAAAUGCUUGUGAUUGUACAGGUACUUCACUUCUGAUUAUAUAAGUACUUUAAAAACAGUAAAAAUUCUUGUUUCCAGUGAUGGGUCAAACAGAUACAGCAAUUAUAAUAACACUAACCUCUAAAACUCUACGAAAUAACAAAUAUCUACUUCCUUGCAAGGGAUGACUUUACAUUGCAGAUUAAAUAAAUGACCACAGAAGCAAGCAUCCUAAUAUAAGAGUUUAACUCUUUGUUCACUGCCAUAUUUGCACAGCUUACAAAAUAUCCCUUACCUUUUAGCAUAUAUUAUCAAUUUCAAUUCAAUCCAUCCUGUGACAAUCUGCAGCAAGUCACAGAAGUGCUCUUCUAGUUGAAAGGAAAUUUCAAGGGAGGAGGGAUGUGGAAAAACACAUUUAAUUUAUUCUAUUGAAAGGGGACAUUCUAAAUGGUUUCUGAGCUCUUUUGCAUCUUCUUACACACUGCAAAUCAGCUCAGAUAUCUUAAUCAGUGGCUAUAAACAUAUCCUUAUCAGUAACAUAUUCAUGAAAGAUGGUAUGUGUAUGAGCUGCAAAAUGUUUGGCAGAGACCCAAGAAUACAAAAGAAAGAAUAUGGUAAAGAAUUGAUGGAAUAUCUUUCAUGAUCAUUAAAAUACAGAAUGUUCCAAAGACCAGGGGACACCAUUGAGCCCUCCAUGUCUGAAUUCUGCAGACAGCAGUAGAUAAUACCUGAUGAUAGAAUGUUUCUUGGAAUUCCAUUUGCGACUGUUUC